AAUUGGGGAUGAUGGGUCAGAUAGUGGUUUCUCCAACUUUAGAUAUGAUGACAAUAAAAUAUAAUGUUUUGAGUAAUUGUAUUUUUGGAUGUUGGUAGGUCAUGCAAGAGUUAUGUAGGUAAAUCGAUAAGAAAAAUGGCAAGCAGACCUACAACAUAGGUUUAUGCUGAUGAAACAGUUGAGGAAAGGGUAUAUGGAUGGCGAAUAAUUUUCCGAUUUUGCUUAAUAAACGGGUUCUUGGUUUUUGUAUUUGUCUUCAAAGAAUAAUUAUUGUAUGAUUACUUGCAAUGAUUUUUGUGGUGAAUUUUGUUUUCUUACCGGUGUAUAUUUUAUUAGAUUACAGCUUUGGUACUUGAGUUAGUUUCCCAUUUGCAGCCCUAGCAGCCAGACGGCUUCAGAAGUGAAUCUAGCGAAGUAGAUAAGUCCCGGUGGCUUUUCUUUCAUUUCCGCUUUGCACAAGUUAGUUUCCCAACCAUAUGGGUAGUUUUUAUGGUGGCACUAAUUUGUUUAAGAACACCUUAAUCAAGACGUACAUACACUCUUUUCUUUUAUCUUAAAGUUUAUUACUAUACAUAUACUAAAACAAAGUGAAAGAAGAAUCUGAAAGGCUGAAUGAUAUUGAACUCGACAAUCUAGAGGUUUAAUGUCUCAAUUCGUUUCAUUUAUAUACUGUUAUUUUUUGUUGUAAGUUAUAUCUAAUAUGAUUAUCAUCUAACUGAUGCACAUUGAUGAAGAUGAAAAGUACAAUAGAAAGUUAGAGUCUGGACUCUGUUCUCUUCAGGUAAACUGUUGCCUAUGAUGAAAUUCAAGUGACCACAAGUUCUAUCUAGCAACCAGGAAUAAGAAGUUUCUAAUGGAGGAAGAUGCACCGUUCACUUAUAUCUUAUAUGGUAAAAAUUGAUGCAUACCAAGCAUAAGGAGAAGAUCAACAGUGGGCCUCUCUUUGUAUUGAUGGAGAGAGAAAGAGUUGUGUUAAGAAUCUUUGAGCCACCACAACUAACAUGGAAAUUGUCGACGAACUCUAUCUCAUCCGGUAAGUGAGGAUAUACGAUGGCCGCAACGGUGGCUGCAUUACGGUUCCUACGAUUAUAGUGAUGUUUAUGGGCUGAACGUUUGAACCUUAUCUGAGCGUUGUAAUCGUCGGAAGAAUCAGGCCCCACUGCCUCGGUGUCAUCCUUUGUCGUGUCUCCUUUCUUUGCCGCCUUUUGGUAAUCUUCUUUCGCCAAUUUCCUGAAUUAGGUCAUUUAUUUUUUCAUCGCUAAACGUCAGCAGUAGUUUACAACUUUCAUUAUUUGUUUCGUCAAGUUAGCUUUGAUUAUUCAAGAACAAAGAAGAAAUAUGGACAUGAUUCUGAAAUAAAAAUGUUGGGGUUAAAACUUUGAUAUGAUUAAUUGAUAACUUUGAUUAGUUUUUGCACCACGACCAUACAUAACUUUGCAAAAUGAUGAAAUUUAAGUGACCACAAGUUCUAUCUCGCUGCCAGGAAUAAGAAGGUAAUAUUUAUGCUUAAUCUUUUUAUCUACAGUGAUUAAAAGUGUAUAUGUGGAGUUGAGACCGCUGGAGGUGGAAUGGUUCGGUUGGGUAUAUAGUGAAAAUGUUUUUUUAUCUUUAUAUAUAUUUCUGAAUAUAUAUUUCUGAGCUAAAUCGUAGCAACUUGAGAAGAUGCACCGGUAAGUCUAAGUACUUUUAGGUAAAAUUUAACUUUCUUUAUUUUUGUUUUUGCAGUUUCUAAUGGAGGAAGAUGCACCGUUCACUUAUAUCUUAUAUGGUAAAAAUUGAUGCAUACCAAGCAUAAGGAGAAGAUCAACAGUGGGCCUCUCUUUGUAUUGAUGGUUCUUAUUAACUACAGAAUUGAUAAAAAGCUUCUAUGACGUGUUAGGGCAUUUGAUCCGACACUGGAAUUUAGCGCUGGAAAAGUAAGAGAGUUGUGGAGUGAGGAGUUGGAGAAUUCAAGUUCGCAAUUUCGCGUCAUACAUGCAUGUCAUGUUGAGUUGUGAUCACCAUGUUAUUGAUGGUUAAAUUAUGUUUUAUAUACCUAAGUGAGAAGUUGGGGGAUUUCUAUAUACACGGUAAUUGCUGAUGAAAUAAGUCAGUGAGAAGUUGGUGGAUUUGAUAGACUAUGAGUUACUCUUUUAAUCUUCAACGUAAAUAUUUAUAUAAACUCUAAAAGGUUUAGUUGUGUGAAAGACCUAUAAGUAUAAUGUUGGUGAUUAUUUUGCAUCUGAACUAAUAUGGGUUGACAACAAAAUGUCAAUGUGGUUCUUUAUUAUGGGAUGUGAGGAUGUAAUGUUUGUGACC
Molecule: long non-coding RNA, 2298 nt
Organism: Helianthus annuus (common sunflower)
Lineage: Eukaryota; Viridiplantae; Streptophyta; Magnoliopsida; Asterales; Asteraceae
Exons: 8
Source: RefSeq, a predicted model, not a curated record